AGCUUGUGAGUGGCGAGAAGGAAGGCCUUCUUCAGCUGCCAAGUGACAAAGCCCUCAUGGCUGACCCAGCCUUCCGUCCACUGGUGGAGAAAUAUGCUGCGGAUGAGGACGCCUUCUUUGCGGAUUACGCCGAGGCCCACCUCAAGCUCUCUGAACUGGGAUUUGCUGAGGAAUAAGAAGCCUUUAGAGAGCGGGAUAUCCGCAAAAGAUUAAUGCCGAUUUGUAUUUUGCGCCUUAGAGUCAG
Molecule: unclassified non-coding RNA, 244 nt
Filed under: Hevea brasiliensis (rubber tree)
Lineage: Eukaryota; Viridiplantae; Streptophyta; Magnoliopsida; Malpighiales; Euphorbiaceae
Source: RNAcentral